RNAcentral lists this ribosomal RNA (465 nucleotides) under Edgbastonia coreena. Its description in RNAcentral is "partial 16S ribosomal RNA". It matches the Rfam family "Bacterial large subunit ribosomal RNA", at positions 1843 to 2572 of the family's 2925-position model. Lineage: Eukaryota; Metazoa; Mollusca; Gastropoda; Littorinimorpha; Tateidae. The record is from RNAcentral.
AUAUAAAGAGUCGAACCUGCCCAGUGAUAUAUAUUCAACGGCCGCGGUACUCUGACCGUGCAAAGGUAGCAUAAUCAUUUGCCUUAUAAUUGAAGGCUUGUAUGAAUGGUUUGACGAGAACAAAGCUGUCUCUUUUUAAUUCUAUAAAACUUGAUUUUUAGGUGAAGAAGCCUAAAUAAAAUUGAAAGACAAGAAGACCCUAUCGAGCUUUAAAAGCUUUUGUUAAUAUAUAUGGCUAUAAUAGACUAGCUAUGAUAAAAGAUUUUAGUUGGGGCGACUAAGGAACAAAAAAGCUUCCAUUUCUCAGUUAAAGCAAAUUGGCUAUGAUCCAAAAUUUUUGAUUAAAAGAAUUAGUUACCGUAGGGAUAACAGCAUAAUCUUUUUUGAGAGUUCUCAUCGAAAAAAAGGUUUGUGACCUCGAUGUUGGACUAGAAUAUCCUAAAUGAUGCAGAAGUCUUUAAGGGU